CCGCGGUAAUACGGAGGGUGCAAGCGUUAUCCGGAUUUAUUGGGUUUAAAGGGUCCGUAGGCGCAUGCGUAAGUCAGUGGUGAAAUCUCACAGCUCAACUGUGAAACUGCCAUUGAUACUGCGUGUCUUGAGUGAGGUUGAAGUAGCUGGAAUAAGUAGUGUAGCGGUGAAAUGCAUAGAUAUUACUUAGAACACCAAUUGCGAAGGCAGGUUACUAAGUCUCAACUGACGCUGAUGGACGAAAGCGUGGGGAGCGAACAGGAUUAGAUACCCUGGUAGUCCACGCUGUAAACGAUGCUAACUCGUUUUUGGGGAUUUAUCUUCAGAGACUAAGCGAAAGUGAUAAGUUAGCCACCUGGGGAGUACGAACGCAAGUUUGAAACUCAAAGGAAUUGACGGGGGCCCGCACAAGCGGUGGAUUAUGUGGUUUAAUUCGAUGAUACGCGAGGAACCUUACCAAGGCUUAAAUGGGAAUUGAUCGGUUUAGAAAUAGACCUUCCUUCGGGCAAUUUUCAAGGUGCCGCAUGGUUGUCGUCAGCUCGUGCCGUGAGGUGUUAGGUUAAGUCCUGCAACGAGCGCAACCCCUGUCACUAGUUGC
Molecule: ribosomal RNA, 598 nt
Filed under: uncultured Chryseobacterium sp.
Lineage: Bacteria; Pseudomonadati; Bacteroidota; Flavobacteriia; Flavobacteriales; Weeksellaceae
Description: bacterial SSU rRNA
Rfam family: Bacterial small subunit ribosomal RNA
Source: RNAcentral